ACGCUCGACACCUACGGGAAGCAGCAGUAGGGAAUCUUCCGCAAUGGACGAAAGUCUGACGGAGCAACGCCGCGUGAACGAUGAAGGUUUUCGGAUCGUAAAGUUCUGUUGUUAGGGAAGAACAAACUUCGUUUGAAUAAGGCGGAGUCAUGACGGUACCUAACGAGAAAGCCACGGCUAACUACGUGCCGGCAGCCGCGGUAAUCUGAGCGGGCUGGCAAGGC
Molecule: ribosomal RNA, 224 nt
Filed under: uncultured bacterium
Lineage: Bacteria
Description: partial 16S ribosomal RNA
Rfam family: Bacterial small subunit ribosomal RNA
Source: RNAcentral